Malania oleifera is the source of this 953-nucleotide long non-coding RNA. RefSeq lists it as uncharacterized. The transcript is spliced from 2 exons. The record is from RefSeq and is a predicted model, not a curated record. Lineage: Eukaryota; Viridiplantae; Streptophyta; Magnoliopsida; Santalales; Ximeniaceae.
CCAUCCCUCCACUUUCCAUUCCCCCUCCUAGCUACCUCCCUCUUCCCCAGUUACCACUUGCAUAUAUAUUAUAUAAUGUUCCCCACACUACAUCUAUCUAGCUAGCUAGCUAGUUAAGUGCGUUUUUAGAUUAGCAAAUUAAGUAAUUGAAUUGAGAUGGGGGAUUUGAGGGGUGAAUUGGAGGUGGAAGUAGAGCUCAAGUCUCCGGCUGACAAGUUCUAUGAUGUGUUCAAGGGUAAGGUGCACCACCUGCCUAAUUGCACCCAGAGGAUUUAGGAUGUCAAGCUCCAUGAAGGCGAGUGGCACUCUCAUGGUGCCGUCAAGCAUUAGACCUAUGUCCUCCCCGACAGAAAAGUGGAGAGUGGAAAAGAAAAGUUCUAUAUAGACGAAGAGAGUAAAAUGCUGAAGUUUGAGUUCUUUGAAGGAGACCCAAUGAAGGACCUCAAAGUGUACAACGGAAUACUGAAGGUGAGUCCCAAGGGCGACAAAGGUGGAGUGGCGCACUGGACCUUGGAGUACGAGCGAUGCAGCCCAUCCAUCCCUCCCCCUCACCACUACCUCGACUUUGUCGUACAUCUCACCAAAGAACUCGAUGCUGCUCUCGCCAGCGCUUAAUUCUCUUCUCCAUCUAUAUAUAUUAAUCCAUUUACCUCCUCGAUCAUUUCCAUCCACAUCUAUUCCAUAUGUAAUAAACUCCCUCUCUCUUAAUAUAUAUAUGAGUGUAUGCAGUAAAAGGGAGUUGUUAUUGGCAUAUAUAUAUAUAUAUAUAUAUAUAUAUAUAUAUAUAUGCAUGUUAUAUUAUGUAUAUAUGUGUGUUUUCAAUACCCCACUGCAGGGUGUCUUAAGCUUUUCUUUUGUACUUUAUGAUUUGACCUGAUGGGUCGUCUGUCAUGCCUGUCUGGCCAGUUCAAUUGAAUGGUCUGGUUUGUUUAAUAAAAGCUCUAGUUCAAUAA